GAUGAACGCUGGCGGCGUGCCUAAUACAUGCAAGUCGAGCGAACAGACGAGGAGCUUGCUCCUCUGACGUUAGCGGCGGACGGGUGAGUAACACGUGGAUAACCUACCUAUAAGACUGGGAUAACUUCGGGAAACCGGAGCUAAUACCGGAUAAUAUAUUGAACCGCAUGGUUCAAUAGUGAAAGACGGUUUUGCUGUCACUUAUAGAUGGAUCCGCGCCGCAUUAGCUGGUUGGUAAGGUAACGGCUUACCAAGGCAACGAUGCGUAGCCGACCUGAGAGGGGGAUCCGCCACACUGGAACUGAGACACGGCCCAGACUCCUAGGGGAGGCAGCAGUGGGGAAUUUUCCGAAAGGGGGGAAAGCCUGACGGAGCAACGCCGGGGUGGUGAUGAAGGUCUGCGGAUCGUAAAACUCUUUUAUUAGGGAAGAACAAAUGUGUAAGUAACUAUGCACGUUUGGACGGUACCUAAGAAGAAAGCCACGGCUAACUACGG
RNAcentral lists this ribosomal RNA (496 nucleotides) under uncultured bacterium. RNAcentral describes it as "partial 16S ribosomal RNA". It matches the Rfam family "Bacterial small subunit ribosomal RNA", at positions 28 to 506 of the family's 1533-position model. The record is from RNAcentral.